ACGGAGGAUGCAAGCGUUAUCCGGAUUUAUUGGGUUUAAAGGGUCCGUAGGCGGAUCUUUAAGUCAGUGGUGAAAGCCCACAGCUCAACUGUGGAACUGCCAUUGAUACUGGAGAUCUUGAGUGUAGUAGAAGUAGGCGGAAUAGGGCAUGUAGCGGUGAAAUGCAUAGAUAUGCCCUAGAACACCGAUUGCGAAGGCAGCUUACUAUGUUACAACUGACGCUGAGGGACGAAAGCGUGGGGAGCAAACAGG
RNAcentral lists this ribosomal RNA (252 nucleotides) under uncultured bacterium. RNAcentral describes it as "partial 16S ribosomal RNA". It matches the Rfam family "Bacterial small subunit ribosomal RNA", at positions 525 to 776 of the family's 1533-position model. The record is from RNAcentral.